This 3200-nucleotide long non-coding RNA is filed under the name Mus musculus (house mouse). Its description in RNAcentral is "predicted gene, 48346". Lineage: Eukaryota; Metazoa; Chordata; Mammalia; Rodentia; Muridae. The record is from RNAcentral.
ACUCACAGACCUGCCCUCCAGCACAUAGCACACAGCACACAGGCGGGCCACAGGCACCCAUUUACUGCCAAGCCAUACAUCACAGAUGGAGAAUGUCACCCAGGGGUCCACCAACUUUGUGCCCAGCCUGCAGCUGGAGCCACCACAAUGUGCAAGUACGUGGUGGUCAGAUGAGAAAGAGAGGCGAAGAAACUUCAGCUUUAUGAAGAAAAAUGAACUGGAGACUCGAGGGUAGAAAGGUCACCCUUGUGAGUGGCCAACCCUGCCACUUAGGGCCAUGGUGAAGUCCCAGUCCCAGCUGAGUGCCAUGUCUGGGUCAGUGGCAGGGAUCAGUGUUGGUGGAUGUCCGUGGCUUAUAUUACCAUUAGAGAACAUGAGGACUCCCUGGUUGGGGCUGCUGAUGGAAAUUACAUGGAUGCCCUAGCUCACCCCAUCGCUCACUGGAUCAGCCUGAAUGUGGCACUCUGAAGAGUUCGCCCCAUCUCUUACUGCUGGCAGCACUCAGGAGAGCCAGCCCUGUGCCCGGCUCAGACAGCACAGUGGAGCUGACCCUUGUGGUAGGGAAAUGGGUGAGCCAGCCUGGUGUCCUGAACUUGGGAAAGUUAACCCAGCCAGUCAUCUAACAUGAGAUGGUACAGGCACAGGUGAUGCCUUCACCUCCUGCCACGAGCUCAGGAAAGCUAACCUUGCUCCUCAACAGAUCUAACACUUGGGAGAGUGGUCCUGCAUCUCGCCUGGACAGCACAUCAGAACUGACCGUGAUGAUCAAGGUUCAGGUGAACCAGCCCGAAGGGAAAGAGCAUCAUGGGAGAGCUGGCCCUGCCACUCCUUUGCUGAGAGGUGGUGUGGGUGUAGGGAGGAUGUUCUCCUCCCAACCACCACCACCUGAAGCAGUCGGGAGAACUGACCCUGAGAUCUUGAGAAUGAGAGAGCUGGUUCUGUCCGUUGCCGGCUGCAGCACUCGGGAGACUGGACACUGAUCCGUGUCUGGGCAGCACAGUGAAGUUGGCCCUGGUGGAGGGUUCAUAAGUGAGUAAGUCGGCCCCAAGGGUGAGAGCACUGGAGAGCUGGCUCUAGGGUCAUGAAAGAUGGAAAGCUGGUCCCGACCUUCACUGGUUGUAGCACUACGAAGAGUAGGUCCUGUACCUCGCAUGGUCAAUGCAGUGGAGGUGGCCCUAACGACAAAAGCACAGGUGAGCCAGUCCUUAGGAUAUAAGAGCGGCAGAGCUGGCUUAGCCCCUCACAGGCUGCAGCAUAUGGGACACCUUGAUUGGGCAGCACAGUGGAGCUGGCUCUGGAGGCCUGGGUGCAGGCAAGUCGGCUCCAAGGGCAUGAAAGCAAGAGAGCUGACCCUGCCUUCUACAGAUGGUGGCAUUCGGUGGCCUAGCUGGAACAAUGCUGGAAAGCUUGCCCUGGUGCUGCAGAUAAGGGAAAGCUUGCACACUGAUGAGCUUAGUAGCUGCCACCCAGUUCCAGAACCAGGGCUCUGAGUUGGCCCACCCCAACAUCUGUAUCAUCUACAAAUAGUUGGAAUGCAUAAAGGGGCCAAUCCUGCUGAUCCAGGGAUGCAGGGUAUCCCACGAUACACAGCAGCAAUGGGAGGACCUGGAGGCAUCCCAUAAUGAUACAAUAUUGAUGGUGUCACAGAGGCCAGAGAUCUCGGGCCAGACUUAGGACUCGAAGCAGCAAACAUUUGCAAGUGAAGAUGUGUAGAAAGAGGGAUAGACUGUGGGACACCCUGUGACACACUACAGCUUCCAUGGAGAAGCAAAGGAAUACAGGAUUCACAUUUAGCAGGAGCCACCAAGUCAAUGAACAGAGGGAAACUCAUCUAAGAAGCUUAAAGAUGGGAUUCAGUGUAAAUCCCCACGGGUAUUGUUGAGGUGACAGGGACAGAGCUCCAUUUGGUUCUCUGUAACGGCCUGAGGAGUUCCCCUAAACUGUAGGGACCUCAAUGCACACUAAACUGAUUUUUGGCUUUAAGCCUGAAGGGACUUUUAGGACUGGUUUGUGUACAAAGGUUUUCCACAAGACAACAAUUGUUGCUUAGACACAGCAAAUAAUUUGGAUAAAGUCUGUGAAGAUCUAAAAGACCCUUGCUUCUCCAAUCUCUGCCAAGGAAUUGACACUUGUGUGAAUGCCUCAGAAGAAAGGACCUUCCUGUUUCAAUGUCCUCCUGGGUACACAGACACGAGGGGCUCAAGACACUGGUGACAUAGGUGUCUUCCCAGGCAAGCUAUUAAAGUCCCUUCAACCUCAGGACUGUGGUGUGUUUGUUGGGUUUCCCUGUUAGUCUGUGGUGUAUCAUGGGCUGCAUCCCCUGAAAUCUCCACGCCUUUCGGUAGAAGGAAACAGGUGCCUCCCCACUUUGGAGACUUUAUUAAAGCUUAGCAAGGUCAGAAGAUAAGAAAUAGGAAAAAAAAAAAAAAGAAGCAGAAUUAGGAUUUUGAGGAGAAAUGUCAGGGGACAAGGCCAAAGGAAAAUAAAUUGAAACAUUUCAAAGACAAUGAAAACCAAGACAAAGUUCCAAAAGCAAACAAAAUGCUGAUAAAAAUGCUUUUAGAGAUCCAAAGCAAGCAAUCAAACCAAAUCAACCCAAACCAAAUGCCUACACCAACAUGUUUUAAAAGCAAAUAAAUUAACCAGAUUUCAUAAACCAACUACAUUGGGAACAGACCAAAAAGGUAUCUGUUAAAGUAGAAUCCUUGAUAAUCAGCUCAGAAAGAACAGAUAGACCAAAACCAAACCAACGGAUUCCCUAAGCCCUGGAAAGAACUUACCGACAUUGCACUUGAGGAAGAGUCUGGACUGACUGGGUCUGUGCAGACACCCAUCUUCCACUCACUUGGUUCCUUCAGUGAAAAGUGGAUGACUUUCAAGACCCAUGUGUGGCACCACAAUUGUCAACAAAAUCAACACAGCUCUUGUCUUACAGGAAACAUGAGUUUAUUCUGGAGCCAUCUUGAAUGACCAUGGAUGGCCCUGGGAAUGCAGAUUUAGGUUUCCCCAAAUUCCAUGUUCCCUGCUAUGGGUUUCUGACAGACAACACCAGGUAAAAUCAUCUUCAUUCUGCUCCUUAUUUCCAAGGUUUUAUGCUUUAAGGAAAAUUACAUACCUGAUUUCGGUAAACACUUUCUGUGUGAUUGAUAAGAUUGUUUCUCUCAUAAUACACAAAUUAAAUAAUCAUAAAAGUUUUAGAC